GCUGCAUGGCGUUGUCAACAAACAAAACGUUCCUUAGUCGGAUGCGGCGCCACCAUGCGUGGUAGAAGACAACAAUUUUGAAUCAUGCUACUGUUUGCACGAUAUGUCAGACCACGAUAAUACUGCCACUACUGUUACCAAUCAUUCUCAUGUGACUAAUACUCCACUGCUUCACUACAAUAUUAAGAGCUGUGCUCAUCCUUAUAAAACAAUCGAGGUUGUACGGGAUCUGAGAACAAUCUGUCAGAAAAAGCUGUGCAGGAAAAGCUGAAUGGUUGCUACUGAAGACAUUUGUCCUCUUCUCACACAUCAUCAUGGGCACUUCUUAUGGUGUCGAGACUGUGAGAGAACAUCUGUAGUGUGAACGUCAAAAUAACCCUUCGAAAAGAGCUUGGCGGGCUCAUCCCUUUUUAAGUGUCUUCAGAACGAGCCACGCAGCUCCCUGCCCAUUAUCUACCAUCGACAGUCUCCUGAAGUUGGAAACAGGAAGCUUUCCAAGAUGAAGACACGACGUAAAAGACGUUAUAACAACAGGUUGAAGGGGAAGUGAACCGCGGAGAGAAGGCGUCGAGUGAGCGGACAGUUUGUGAUACAGAGAAGAAUAACAGCAGCGACAUGGAUGAAGAAAGGGACACAGGAAACAUUGCUGACAACGACGGAACAGAUUCGGAGAAGCAAGACAUUUCCCCAUCGUCAGGGCAGGGACUUAAGGGACUUAAUCAAAACAGUUCAGUCUUUAUUAUUCUGUCUGGAAUUUGGCUUGCAGCAAAACUAGACUUUGUACAUUGAUUUUUUCUUUCUUUCUCUGUACCAGCACUGUGCAGGUUGUAAACACAAGAGGAAAGCAGUCCUAUUUUGUGUGGCCUAUAAAAAACUGUGUUCGUU
Molecule: long non-coding RNA, 885 nt
Organism: Pleuronectes platessa (European plaice)
Lineage: Eukaryota; Metazoa; Chordata; Actinopteri; Pleuronectiformes; Pleuronectidae
Exons: 2
Source: RefSeq, a predicted model, not a curated record